Pelobates cultripes (western spadefoot toad) is the source of this 1473-nucleotide non-coding RNA. NCBI's taxonomy places the organism in Eukaryota, Metazoa, Chordata, Amphibia, Anura, Pelobatidae. The record is from the annotation of a GenBank genome assembly.
CUGGCAGUAGGACUGGGAGUUGAGCUUGACUCCAUCCUCAACCCGAAAAGGCCCCACAAGCUCAUCUUUGAUGAUACCAGCCCAAACCAGUACUCCACCUCCACCUUGCUGGCGUCUGAGUCGGACUGGAGCUCUCUGCCCUUUACCAAUCCAGCCACGGGCCCAUCCAUCUGGCCCAUCAAGACUCACUCUCAUUUCAUCAGUCCAUAAAACCUUAGAAAAAUCAGUCUUGAGAUAUUUCUUGGCCCAGUCUUGACAUUUCAGCUUGUGUAUCUUGUUCAGUGGUGGUCGUCUUUCAGCCUUUCUUACCUUGGCCAUGUCUCUGAGUAUUGCACACCUUGUGCUUUUGGGCACUCCAGUGAUGUUGCAGCUCUGAAAUAUGGCCAAACUGGUGGCAAGUGGCAUUGUGGCAGCUGCACGCUUGACUUUUCUCAGUUCAUGGGCAGUUAUUUUGCGCCUUGGUUUUUCCACACGCUUCUUGCGACCCUGUUGACUAUUUUGAAUGAAACGCUUGAUUGUUCGAUGAUCACGCUUCAGAAGCUUUGCAAUUUUAAGAGUGCUGCAUCCCUCUGCAAGAUAUCUCACUAUUUUUGACUUUUCUGAGCCUGUCAAGUCCUUCUUUUGACCCAUUUUGCCAAAGGAAAGGAAGUUGCCUAAUAAUUAUGCACACCUGAUAUAGGGUGUUGAUGUCAUUAGACCACACCCCUUCUCAUUACAGAGAUGCACAUCACCUAAUAUGCUUAAUUGGUAAUAGGCUUUUGAGCCUAUACAGCUUGGAGUAAGACAACAUGCAUAAAGAGGAUGAUGUGGUCAAAAUACUCAUUUGCCUAAUAAUUCUGCACUCCCUGUAUAGACAGACUAACGUGUGGGCAUUAAUACUUUAAAAACUCAUCACAUUUUUGUCUUUUGAGAGCUACCAAUACUAUAUGCUUAAUUAAAUACACAUUGUCUUGUGUGUUCAGAUACAGAUGUAAACCGCUAUGAUCUACAUUGUGUGCUAUAUCGUACUCGUUACCAGAUAAAUCUAAAAAUUAAAAUACCAUUUCUUUAUGCGGACAGCAUCUGAUGACCACUCUCAGCAAUGAAUAAAACUUUGUACAUAGAAAUUGCACAUUAUUGAGUUAAACUAAUUAAAUCAAGGCCAUAGUUGGCUGCUGAGACCAUUUACGAAUACUUUAUUUACUUGCUUACAGAUAUUUCAAACCAGCUAGUUCUUAAGAGAACCCUUAACUUGUCAGAAUGUUAAAAUAUACAUUGCUGAUUUACCUCCACUGAUAUUUUAUAUAGGACAUGUUAAGCUUUAAGGUAGUAUGUAUGAAUCUUCUUCUUUUAUCUGAGAUUUAAUAAAAAUUUUGAAAUUUGUGUUUAAUUCCUGGGACCAUUUUCAUACAGGGAUAUUCAAAAAAGAAAAAAAAAGGCUGUUACUGCUCAUUUACAAUAAAUUUCUACUUAUUAGCUAAUGUAUAAAGCCAC